CACGUAGGGGGCAAGCGUUGUCCGGAUUUAUUGGGCGUAAAGAGCUCGUAGGCGGUUUCGUAAGUCGGAUGUGAAAACUCCAGGCUCAACUUGGAGACGCCAUUCGAUACUGCGAUGACUUGAGUCCGGUAGGGGAGUGUGGAAUUCCUGGUGUAGCGGUGAAAUGCGCAGAUAUCAGGAGGAACACCGGCGGCGAAGGCGGCACUCUGGGCCGGUACUGACGCUGAGGAGCGAAAGCGUGGGGAGCGAACAGG
This 254-nucleotide ribosomal RNA is filed under the name uncultured bacterium. RNAcentral's name for it is "partial 16S ribosomal RNA". It matches the Rfam family "Bacterial small subunit ribosomal RNA", at positions 524 to 776 of the family's 1533-position model. The record is from RNAcentral.